GUGGGGCUGGGACCCCUGGGUAUGGGGCUGGGGACCCCCGGGAAGCAAGACGUGGGGCUGGGAUCCCUGGAGAGCGGGGUGUGGGGCUGGGGACCCCUUGUUGUGGGGCUGGGACCCCUUGUUGUGGGGCUGGGACCCCUCGAUGUGGGGCUGGGACCCCCCGGGGAUCAGGGUGUGGGGCUGGGACCCCUUGGUGUGGGGCUGGGACCCCUGGGUGUGGGGCUGGGACCCCUGGGUGUGGGGCUGGGGACCCCCGGGAAGCAAGAUGUGGGGCUGGGACCCCUUGUUAUGGGGCUGGGAACCUCCUGGGGAGUGGGAUGUGGGGCUAGGACCCCUUGUUGUGGGGCUGGGACCCCUUGUUGUGGGGCUGGGGACCUCUUGUGGGGCUGGGACCCCUCAGUAUGGGGCUGGGAUCCCCGGGGAUCGGGAUGUGGGGCUGGGACCCCUUGGUGUGGGUCUGGGGACCCUUUGGUGCGGGGCUGGGACCCCUUGGUGUGGGGCUGGGACCUUUUGAUGUGGGGCUGGGGACCACUUGUGGGGCUGGGACCCCCGGGAUCGGGAUGUGGGGCUGGAACCCAUCAUUGUGGGGCUGGGGACCCUUGGGGAGUAAGGUGUGGGGCUGGGACCUUUUCGUGUGGAGCUGGGACCCCUCGCUGUGGGGCUGGGGACCUCCGGGGAGUGGGAUGUGGGGCUGGGACCCUUUGCUGUGGGGCUGGGGACCUUGGGGAGUGGGCUGUGGAGCUGGGAGGGAAGCAGGAUGUGGGGCUGGGACCCCUUGGUGUGGGGCUGGGACCCCUGGAUGUGGGGCUGGGACCCCUUGUUAUGGGGCUGGGACCCCUCGCUGUGGGGAUGGGGAGCGGGAUGUGGGGCUGGGACCCCUCGGUGUGGGGCGGGGACCCCCGGGAAGCAAGAUGUGGGGCUGGGACCCCUUGUUGUGGGGCUGGGACCUCUCAGUGUGGGGCUGGGACCCUCAGGAUCGGGGUGUGGGUCUGGGAUCUUUUGGUGUGGGGCUGGGGACCCCCGGGGAUCGG
Molecule: long non-coding RNA, 1031 nt
Filed under: Calidris pugnax (ruff)
Lineage: Eukaryota; Metazoa; Chordata; Aves; Charadriiformes; Scolopacidae
Description: lncRNA (ENSCPUG00000002228.1)
Source: RNAcentral